AAAUUGAAGAGUUUGAUCAUGGCUCAGAUUGAACGCUGGCGGCAGGCCUAACACAUGCAAGUCGAACGGUAACAGGAAACAGCUUGCUGUUUCGCUGACGAGUGGCGGACGGGUGAGUAAUGUCUGGGAAACUGCCUGAUGGAGGGGGAUAACUACUGGAAACGGUAGCUAAUACCGCAUAACGUCGCAAGACCAAAGAGGGGGACCCUCGGGCCUCUUGCCAUCGGAUGUGCCCAGAUGGGAUUAGCUUGUUGGUGGGGUAACGGCUCACCAAGGCGACGAUCCCUAGCUGGUCUGAGAGGAUGACCAGCCACACUGGAACUGAGACACGGUCCAGACUCCUACGGGAGGCAGCAGUGGGGAAUAUUGCACAAUGGGCGCAAGCCUGAUGCAGCCAUGCCGCGUGUAUGAAGAAGGCCUUCGGGUUGUAAAGUACUUUCAGCGGGGAGGAAGGGAGUAAAGUUAAUACCUUUGCUCAUUGACGUUACCCGCAGAAGAAGCACCGGCUAACUCCGUGCCAGCAGCCGCGGUAAUACGGAGGGUGCAAGCGUUAAUCGGAAUUACUGGGCGUAAAGCGCACGCAGGCGGUUUGUUAAGUCAGAUGUGAAAUCCCCGGGCUCAACCUGGGAACUGCAUCUGAUACUGGCAAGCUUGAGUCUCGUAGAGGGGGUAGAAUUCCAGGUGUAGCGGUGAAAUGCGUAGAGAUCUGGAGGAAUACCGGUGGCGAAGGCGGCCCCCUGGACGAAGACUGACGCUCAGGUGCGAAAGCGUGGGGAGCAAACAGGAUUAGAUACCCUGGUAGUCCACGCCGUAAACGAUGUCGACUUGGAGGUUGUGCCCUUGAGGCGUGGCUUCCGGAGCUAACGCGUUAAGUCGACCGCCUGGGGAGUACGGCCGCAAGGUUAAAACUCAAAUGAAUUGACGGGGGCCCGCACAAGCGGUGGAGCAUGUGGUUUAAUUCGAUGCAACGCGAAGAACCUUACCUGGUCUUGACAUCCACGGAAGUUUUCAGAGAUGAGAAUGUGCCUUCGGGAACCGUGAGACAGGUGCUGCAUGGCUGUCGUCAGCUCGUGUUGUGAAAUGUUGGGUUAAGUCCCGCAACGAGCGCAACCCUUAUCCUUUGUUGCCAGCGGUUCGGCCGGGAACUCAAAGGAGACUGCCAGUGAUAAACUGGAGGAAGGUGGGGAUGACGUCAAGUCAUCAUGGCCCUUACGACCAGGGCUACACACGUGCUACAAUGGCGCAUACAAAGAGAAGCGACCUCGCGAGAGCAAGCGGACCUCAUAAAGUGCGUCGUAGUCCGGAUUGGAGUCUGCAACUCGACUCCAUGAAGUCGGAAUCGCUAGUAAUCGUGGAUCAGAAUGCCACGGUGAAUACGUUCCCGGGCCUUGUACACACCGCCCGUCACACCAUGGGAGUGGGUUGCAAAAGAAGUAGGUAGCUUAACCUUCGGGAGGGCGCUUACCACUUUGUGAUUCAUGACUGGGGUGAAGUCGUAACAAGGUAACCGUAGGGGAACCUGCGGUUGGAUCACCUCCUUACCUUAAAGAAGC
Molecule: ribosomal RNA, 1553 nt
Filed under: Escherichia coli
Lineage: Bacteria; Pseudomonadati; Pseudomonadota; Gammaproteobacteria; Enterobacterales; Enterobacteriaceae
Description: bacterial SSU rRNA
Rfam family: Bacterial small subunit ribosomal RNA
Source: RNAcentral